Molecule: ribosomal RNA, 497 nt
Filed under: uncultured bacterium
Lineage: Bacteria
Description: partial 16S ribosomal RNA
Rfam family: Bacterial small subunit ribosomal RNA
Source: RNAcentral
GACGAACGCUGGCGGCGUGCCUAAUACAUGCAAGUUGAGCGAUGAAGAUUGGUGCUUGCCCCAAUUUGAAGAGCAGCGAGCGGGUGAGUAACGCGUGGGGAAUCUGCCUUUGAGCGGGGGACAACAUUUGGAAACGAAUGCUAAUACCGCAUAACAACUUUAAACAUAAGUUUUAAGUUUGAAAGAUGCAAUUGCAUCACUCAAAGAUGAUCCCGCGUUGUAUUAGCUAGUUGGUGAGGUAAAGGCUCACCAAGGCGAUGAUACAUAGCCGACCUGAGAGGGUGAUCGGCCACAUUGGGACGGAGACACGGCCCAAACUCCUACGGGAGGCAGCAGUAGGGAAUCUUCGGCAAUGGACGAAAGUCUGACCGAGCAACGCCGCGUGAGUGAAGAAGGUUGUCGGAUCGUAAAACUCUGUUGGUAGAGAAGAACGUUGGUGAGAGUGGAAAGCUCAUCAAGUGACGGUAACUACCCAGAAAGGGACGGCUAACUACGUG